Molecule: ribosomal RNA, 443 nt
Filed under: uncultured bacterium
Lineage: Bacteria
Description: partial 16S ribosomal RNA
Rfam family: Bacterial small subunit ribosomal RNA
Source: RNAcentral
CCUACGGGAGGCAGCAGUGGGGAAUAUUGGGCAAUGGGCGCAAGCCUGACCCAGCAACGCCGCGUGAAGGAAGAAGGCUUUCGGGUUGUAAACUCCUUUUCUGAGGGACGAAGAAAGUGACGGUACCUCAGGAAUAAGCCACGGCUAACUACGAGCCAGCAGCAGCGGCAAGACGUAGGUGGCAAGCGUUAUCCGGAUUUAUUGGGUGUAAAGGGCGAGUAGGCGGGAAAGCAAGGCAGAUGUGAAAACUAAGGGCUCAACCCUGAGCCUGCAUUUGAACCUGGUUUUCUUGAGUGCUGGAGAGGCAAUCGGAAUGCCGGGUGUAGCGGUGAAAUGCGUAGAUAUACGGAGGAACACCAGUGGCGAAGGCGGAUUGCUGGACAGUAACUGACGCUGAGGCGCGAACGCGUGGGGAGCAAACAGGAUUAGAUACCCGGGUAGUC